CAGCAGCCGCGGUAAUACGAAGGGUGCAAGCGUUAAUCGGAAUUACUGGGCGUAAAGCGUGCGUAGGCGGUGAGUUAAGUCUGCUGUGAAAUCCCCGGGCUCAACCUGGGAAUGGCAGUGGAUACUGGCUCGCUAGAGUGUGUCAGAGGAUGGUGGAAUUCCCGGUGUAGCGGUGAAAUGCGUAGAGAUCGGGAGGAACAUCAGUGGCGAAGGCGGCCAUCUGGGACAACACUGACGCUGAGGCACGAAAGCGUGGGGAGCAAACAGGAUUAGAUACCCCUGUAGUCCCUGUUUCUUAUAC
Molecule: ribosomal RNA, 301 nt
Filed under: uncultured bacterium
Lineage: Bacteria
Description: partial 16S ribosomal RNA
Rfam family: Bacterial small subunit ribosomal RNA
Source: RNAcentral